GACGAACGCUGGCGGCGUGCUUAACACAUGCAAGUCGAACGAGAAUCUGUGGAAAGAGGAUUCGUCCAAUUGAAGCAGAGGACAGUGGCGGACGGGUGAGUAACGCGUGAGGAACCUGCCUUUCAGAGGGGGACAACAGUUGGAAACGACUGCUAAUACCGCAUAACAUAUAGAUGUCGCAUGGCAUUUAUAUCAAAGAUUUAUCGCUGAAAGAUGGCCUCGCGUCUGAUUAGCUAGUUGGUGAGGUAACGGCCCACCAAGGCGACGAUCAGUAGCCGGACUGAGAGGUUGAACGGCCACAUUGGGACUGAGAUACGGCCCAGACUCCUACGGGAGGCAGCAGUAGGGAAUCUUCGGCAAUGGGGGCAACCCUGACCGAGCAACGCCGCGUGAGUGAAGAAGGUUUCGGAUCGUAAAGCUCUGUUGUAAGUCAAGAACGGUGUGAGAGUGGAAGACGGUAUCCAAGGA
Molecule: ribosomal RNA, 468 nt
Filed under: uncultured bacterium
Lineage: Bacteria
Description: bacterial SSU rRNA
Rfam family: Bacterial small subunit ribosomal RNA
Source: RNAcentral